AGUUAUUUUUCUGUCAUUUUCUAGCAUUUGUAUUUGCAGAAGAGAUGGUUUACUUCCUCUGUGGGUAACCAGGUUAUCAGAUUUGGUGUUUUCCAAAGAAAAGGCACAUGGCAUGAUUCCACUUCUUGGCUCCCAUAGGGAAAAGAAGACAAGUAAAGAGAUGAAGACUUCUUCCAGGAACCUGAGGUACUUCAUUGUCUGCAGAGAUGCCUCAUCCUACACCCCUCAGUCACUCAUAUCUGGAUACAUUGGACCUUGUCAACAUCAAUAAUGGACAUACCUCUGAUAUUUGAACUCUGAAUCUCACUCUGUGACCACAACUUUGUAUCUUUCUAAGUCUUUAAUCUUCAACCUCACAGAACUCUUCAUACCCUAAAAUAUAGUAUUUUCACCUGGUCUGUCAUCCCCUUUUGUGCCUUCAUUUUUUUUCCUUACCAAGACUGGUUCCCAUGGUGAUCCCAUGAAUGACUUUAUCACUAAUAACCACA
Molecule: long non-coding RNA, 488 nt
Organism: Homo sapiens (human)
Lineage: Eukaryota; Metazoa; Chordata; Mammalia; Primates; Hominidae
Exons: 3
Source: RefSeq, a predicted model, not a curated record